UAGGGAAUCUUCCACAAUGGACGCAAGUCUGAUGGAGCAACGCCGCGUGAGUGAAGAAGGUUUUCGGAUCGUAAAGCUCUGUUGUUGGUGAAGAAGGAUAGAGGUAGUAACUGGCCUUUAUUUGACGGUAAUCAACCAGAAAGUCACGGCUAACUACGUGCCAGCAGCCGCGGUAAUACGUAGGUGGCAAGCGUUGUCCGGAUUUAUUGGGCGUAAAGCGAACGCAGGCGGAAGAAUAAGUCUGAUGUGAAAGCCCUCGGCUUAACCGAGGAAUUGCAUCGGAAACUGUUUUUCUUGAGUGCAGAAGAGGAGAG
RNAcentral lists this ribosomal RNA (314 nucleotides) under uncultured bacterium. RNAcentral describes it as "partial 16S ribosomal RNA". It matches the Rfam family "Bacterial small subunit ribosomal RNA", at positions 355 to 661 of the family's 1533-position model. The record is from RNAcentral.